AAAGUCCCGGCAAACUGUAAGUCUGCUUCUUCAGAUUUGCAAUCUGACGUGGUAACACUCCAGAACU
This 67-nucleotide transfer RNA is filed under the name Gadus chalcogrammus (walleye pollock). RNAcentral's name for it is "tRNA-Cys". Lineage: Eukaryota; Metazoa; Chordata; Actinopteri; Gadiformes; Gadidae. The record is from RNAcentral.